UUGAACGCUGGCGGCCGGCCUAACACCUGCCAGUCGCACGGUAACAGGAAGAAGCUUGCUUCUUUGCUGACGAGUGGCGGACGGGUGAGUAAUGUCUGGGAAACUGCCUGAUGGAGGGGGAUAACUACUGGAAACGGUAGCUAAUACCGCAUAACGUCGCAAGACCAAAGAGGGGGACCUUCGGGCCUCUUGCCAUCGGAUGUGCCCAGAUGGGAUUAGCUAGUAGGUGGGGUAACGGCUCACCUAGGCGACGAUCCCUAGCUGGUCUGAGAGGAUGACCAGACACACUGGAACUGAGACACGGUCCAGACUCCUACGGGAGGCAGCAGUGGGGAAUAUUGCACAAUGGGCGCAAGCCUGAUGCAGCCAUGCCGCGUGUAUGAAGAAGGCCUUCGGGUUGUAAAGUACUUUCAGCGGGGAGGAAGGGAGUAAAGUUAAUACCUUUGCUCAUUGACGUUACCCGCAGAAGAAGCACCGGCUAACUCCGUG
RNAcentral lists this ribosomal RNA (489 nucleotides) under uncultured bacterium. RNAcentral describes it as "partial 16S ribosomal RNA". It matches the Rfam family "Bacterial small subunit ribosomal RNA", at positions 30 to 507 of the family's 1533-position model. The record is from RNAcentral.